Haliotis rubra (blacklip abalone) is the source of this 180-nucleotide long non-coding RNA. RefSeq lists it as uncharacterized. The transcript is spliced from 3 exons. Lineage: Eukaryota; Metazoa; Mollusca; Gastropoda; Lepetellida; Haliotidae. The record is from RefSeq and is a predicted model, not a curated record.
UUCUUUGGUUAUUAUACUGCCGGGGAAGACUAUUUCACUCACUCUACUGGGGAUUACUUGGACUUCAGGGAUAAUAAGCUUCCAGCAAGAAACUAUACUGGAGAAUAUUCUGCUAACACAUUCGGCCAGAGAGCCGUUGACAUCAUCCAUCGUCAUGAUGUAUCACAGCCGCUGUUUAUG